GGCAUAAUCUGGUUUCAUUUACACCUAUUUACACGGACACCUUGGGCCAAUGGAAAUCAUUUCCAUUUGAAGACAGAAAAAGGGGGCGAAAGAGGCUCGGUUACCGGAUGGCACUCAGUGUGUGAAGGGAAAUGCCUGGUCUCCACGGAGGGCUGGCAGAACUAAAGACCAGAGCAGCACAAUGCACAACAACAGUAGAGGCCAAAUAUGAACUGGAGCUGUGACAAACUAGGCUGAAGGAGGAAACAACUUUAUUUUGCCGCCACACACAGCAAGCAGAAUGAUGGAGGUAAAACAAUCUCCAAAGGUCACUCUGGGAGAACUGCAGGAAAGAGCACAAUCUUGGAUCAGAUGCAAAACUUCACAGGAUUGAUGUUAUCAUACUGUUGCUCAGUUACUAUGGCAUGAACGUCCAUUGCUAUGUUGUGUUAUCUUGACGGUCUUGACUAAUUUAAAAAUCCACUGUAGAUUUUCUGUUGAUUUCCUUAAUGGCUUUUUUUUUUAAAAUAUUGCUUUGUGUUUGUUUUUAAGUAUCUAUCAAUAAAAAAAU
This is a non-coding RNA of Poecilia reticulata (guppy), 550 nucleotides long. NCBI's taxonomy places the organism in Eukaryota, Metazoa, Chordata, Actinopteri, Cyprinodontiformes, Poeciliidae. The record is from RefSeq and is a predicted model, not a curated record.